This 253-nucleotide ribosomal RNA is filed under the name uncultured bacterium. RNAcentral's name for it is "partial 16S ribosomal RNA". It matches the Rfam family "Bacterial small subunit ribosomal RNA", at positions 524 to 776 of the family's 1533-position model. The record is from RNAcentral.
GACGAAUCGUCCGAACGUUAUUCGGAAUCACUGGGCUUAAAGGGUGCGUAGGCGGCGCGGAAAGUUGGGUGUGAAAUCCCUCGGCUCAACCGAGGAACUGCGCCCAAAACUACCGUGCUCGAGGGAGAUAGAGGUGAGCGGAACUUAGGGUGGAGCGGUGAAAUGCGUUGAUAUCCUAAGGAACACCGGUGGCGAAAGCGGCUCACUGGAUCUCUUCUGACGCUGAGGCACGAAAGCUAGGGUAGCGAACGGG